Coregonus clupeaformis (lake whitefish) is the source of this 85-nucleotide small nucleolar RNA. RefSeq annotates it as small nucleolar RNA SNORD103/SNORD85. Lineage: Eukaryota; Metazoa; Chordata; Actinopteri; Salmoniformes; Salmonidae. The record is from RefSeq and is a predicted model, not a curated record. The transcript has a single exon.
GUUGGCUGUGAUGACACACUUAGCCUCACUUAGGAGUGCUUUGAUAAUGAGAACACCUUAAUACUCAAAUAACUUCUGAGCCAAU